This 232-nucleotide unclassified non-coding RNA is filed under the name Hevea brasiliensis (rubber tree). Lineage: Eukaryota; Viridiplantae; Streptophyta; Magnoliopsida; Malpighiales; Euphorbiaceae. The record is from RNAcentral.
UAUGGCAGCUGAAAGAGCAAAGCAUAUGAGUCUUAUUUAUUUGCAAUUAUUUCUUGGAUUGGUUUUCUUCUCUUGCAUUGCUUUCUCUAAGACUGUGGUGACUACUCUUCCUGGUUUUGAUGGGCAUCUUCCCUUUUAUCUUGAAACUGGGUACAUUGGCGUCGGAGAAUCCAAUGAGUCGCAGCUAUUCUACUAUUUUGUAGAGUCUCAAAGAAGCCCAGCGCUUGACCCU